GACGAACGCUGGCGGCGUGCCUAAUACAUGCAAGUCGAGCGGACUUUCAGUAGUGCUUUCACUCCGCGAGGUUCGCGGCGCGCGGGUGAGUAACACGUAUGCAACCUGCCCAUAAGACCGGGAUUAACUUCGGGAACGAAUGCUAAUUCCGGAUAGCCGGACUUCUCUCAUGGGGGGGUCUGUAAAGACGGAGCAAGCUUGCGCUUGUGGAUGUGCCUGCGGCGCAUUAGCUGGUUGGUGGGGUAACGGCCUACCAAUGCGACGAUGCGUAGCCGACCUGAGAGGGUGAUCGGCCACACUGGAACUGAGACACGGCCCAGACUCCUACGGGAGGCAGCAGUAGGGAAUAUUCGGCAAAGGACGCAAGUCUGACGGAGCAACGCCGCGUGAGUGAGGAAGGCCUUCGGGUCGUAAAGCUCUGUUGCCAGGGAAGAACGGGUAGGGGAGUAACUGCCCUUGCCAUGACGGUACCUGAGAAGAAAGCCCCGGCUAACUACGUG
RNAcentral lists this ribosomal RNA (500 nucleotides) under uncultured bacterium. RNAcentral's name for it is "partial 16S ribosomal RNA". It matches the Rfam family "Bacterial small subunit ribosomal RNA", at positions 28 to 507 of the family's 1533-position model. The record is from RNAcentral.